Molecule: ribosomal RNA, 450 nt
Filed under: uncultured bacterium
Lineage: Bacteria
Description: partial 16S ribosomal RNA
Rfam family: Bacterial small subunit ribosomal RNA
Source: RNAcentral
GUGGGGAAUCUUCCGCAAUGGACGAAAGUCUGACGGAGCAACGCCGCGUGAGUGAAGAAGGUUUUCGGAUCGUAAAGCUCUUUCGUUAGGGACGAACGUGCUCUUUGUGAAUAAUGAGGAGUAAUGACGGUACCUAAAUAAGAAGCCACGGCUAACUACGUGCCAGCAGCCGCGGUAAUACGUAGGUGGCAAGCGUUGUCCGGAAUGAUUGGGCGUAAAGCGCGCGCAGGCGGGAUAUCAAGUCUGUCUUAAAAGUGCGAGGCUCAACCUCGUGAGGGGACAGAAACUGGUAUUCUUGAGUGUCGGAGAGGAAAGUGGAAUUCCAAGUGUAGCGGUGAAAUGCGUAGAGAUUUGGAAGAACACCAGUGGCGAAGGCGACUUUCUGGACGAUGUCUGACGCUGAGGCGCGAAAGCUAGGGGAGCGAACGGGAUUAGAUACCCCAGUAGUCC